GGGGUUCUGAGAGGAAGUUAAGUAUUCCACCUGGGGAGUACGCCGGCAACGGUGAAACUCAAAGGAAUUGACGGGGGCCCGCACAAGCGGAGGAACAUGUGGUUUAAUUCGAUGAUACGCGAGGAACCUUACCUGGGCUUAAAUUGCAAUUGACAGAGGCCGAAACGCCUCUUUCUUCGGACAAUUGUGAAGGUGCUGCAUGGUUGUCGUCAGCUCGUGCCGUGAGGUGUCGGCUUAAGUGCCAUAACGAGCGCAACCCUCAUUAUUAGUUACUAACAGGUUAAGCUGAGGACUCUAAUAAGACUGCCGUCGUAAGAUGUGAGGAAGGUGGGGAUGACGUCAAAUCAGCACGGCCCUUACGUCCAGGGCCACACACGUGUUACAAUGGGUGAAACAGAGGGCAGCUACCUAGCGAUAGGAUGCUAAUCCCAUAAAAUCACUCUCAGUUCGGAUUGAAGUCUGCAACUCGACUUCAUGAAGCUGGAUUCGCUAGUAAUCGCGCAUCAGCCACGGCGCGGUGAAUACGUUCCCGGGCCUUGUACACACCGCCCGUCAAGCCAUGGGAGCUGGGGGUACCUGAAGUACGUAACCGCAAGGAGCGUCCUAGGGUAAAUCUGGUGACUGGGGCUAAGUCGUAACAAGGUAGCCGUACCGGAAGGUGCGGCUGGAACACCUCCUUC
This 680-nucleotide ribosomal RNA is filed under the name uncultured Bacteroides sp. RNAcentral's name for it is "bacterial SSU rRNA". It matches the Rfam family "Bacterial small subunit ribosomal RNA", at positions 840 to 1533 of the family's 1533-position model. Lineage: Bacteria; Pseudomonadati; Bacteroidota; Bacteroidia; Bacteroidales; Bacteroidaceae. The record is from RNAcentral.